AUGGCCGCCGCGACGGCGACGGCAGCCUUCGUGGUCGUGCGCCCACGCAGCCGAGACUCAGCUAGCCACGCCUCUUCUCUCUCAACCGCCGUCGCCGGCACCCGCACUACUCUUGUCCACCACCGCGGCCACGCUGCACGCCGGCGCCUCCCGCUCUCUCGAGCCCGAGCUCUGCUGCCCCACGGCCUCCCCCUGGUCCUGGUCUCCGACCACUGGGGCAACUGGACGGUCCUCCUGUCCGCGGCCGCGCUGGGCGUCUGGUCCGAGAAAAGCACCCGCGCCGGCAAGGCGCUGAGCGGCGCGCUGGUGAGCGUGCUGCUCGGCCUCGCCGCCACCACGGCCGGGCUCGUCGCCGCCGACGCCCCCGCCUACCGCGUGGUGCUGGAGUACCUGCUCCCGCUGGCCGUGCCGCUGCUCCUCUUCCGCGCCGACCUCCGCCGCGUUGUCCGCUCCGCCGGCGCCCUCCUCCUCGCAUUCCUCCUCGGAUCUGUGGCGACGACGGUGGGCACGGUGGUGGCGUUCGCGCUGGUGCCGAUGCGGUCGCUGGGGCCGGACAACUGGAAGAUCGCGGCGGCCCUCAUGAGCCGGCACAUCGGAGGAGCCGUCAACUACGUGGCCGUCGCGGAGGCCCUGCAGGUGACCCCGUCGGUGCUGGCCGCCGACAACGUCAUCUGCGCGCUCUACUUCACCACGCUAUUCGCGCUGGCCGCCAAGAUCCCCGCUGAAGAGACGGUGCAUUCCAAAGAGGGAGUCAACGCCAGCGGCGAGCCCACUCCGGCUGCCGGCGGCGGCGACAGGCUGCCGGUCCUGGAGAGCGCGACGGCGCUGGCCGUGUCGUUCGCGAUAUGCAGAGCAGGCAAGCACAUGACGGCCCUGCUGGGCGUACAGGGCGGCAGCCUCCCCUGCAUCACAGCAAUCGCGGUGGCGCUGGCGACACUGUUCCCCUCGCACGUCGGCAAGCUCGCCCCCGCCGGCGAGGCCAUGGCCGUGAUCCUGAUGCAGAUCGCCGUGCACCUGCUGGUGAUCUUGGGCGCUGGGAAGCUGCUGGGGUUGGAGGAGAAGCUGCUGCUCAUCGCGUCCAGCCACCGCCUGCGGCAUGGCCACCAGCAAGGGCUGGAGCUCCCUGGUCGUCCCCGGGAUCCUCGCCGGCAUAUUUGGCAUCGCCAUCGCCACCUUCCUCGGCGUCGGUUUCGGCAUGUUUGUCCUCAAGCACAUGUGACGCAAUGCACCUGCACUUGA
This 1239-nucleotide ribosomal RNA is filed under the name Triticum aestivum (bread wheat). RNAcentral describes it as "partial small subunit ribosomal RNA". The record is from RNAcentral. Lineage: Eukaryota; Viridiplantae; Streptophyta; Magnoliopsida; Poales; Poaceae.